GUCCGCAAGGACAGUGGCAGACGAGGUAGUAAGGCGCAGGUACAUCCCCCGGAGUCGGGCAUAGCUAGCCGAAAGGUUAGGUAAUUCCCGAUGGCCUCGUAAAAGUAAAGUCCCGCUCUUUCUUCGGAAAGGGCGGGACGCUCCGGGACUGGCCUGUGUAAUAUCAGCUAGUUGGUGAGGUAAUGGCUCACCAAGGCUACGACGUUUAGGGGAGCUGAGAGGCUGACCCCCACCGAUGGGACUGCGAUACGGCCCAUACUCCUACGGGAGGCUGCAGGCGAGAAUAUUCCGCAAUGGGCGAAAGCCUGACGGAGCGACGCCGCGUGAUGGAUGAAGUGCUUCGGUACGUAAACAUCUUUUAUCGGGGAAGAAAUAAUUGACGGUACCCGAUGAAUAAGGGGCUCCUAACUCUGUGUACGUG
This 421-nucleotide ribosomal RNA is filed under the name uncultured bacterium. RNAcentral describes it as "bacterial SSU rRNA". It matches the Rfam family "Bacterial small subunit ribosomal RNA", at positions 82 to 513 of the family's 1533-position model. The record is from RNAcentral.